ACUCCUACGGGAGGCAGCAGUGGGGAAUCUUGCACAAUGGGCGAAAGCCUGAUGCAGCGACGCCGCGUGCGGGAUGAAGGCCUUCGGGUUGUAAACCGCUUUCAGCAGGGACGAGGCGAAAGUGACGGUACCUGCAGAAGAAGCCCCGGCUAACUACGUGCCAGCAGCCGCGGUAAUACGUAGGGGGCAAGCGUUAUCCGGAUUCAUUGGGCGUAAAGCGCUCGUAGGCGGUCUGUUAGGUCGGGAGUUAAAUCCGGGGGCUCAACCCCCGUUCGCUCCCGAUACCGGCAGACUUGAGUUUGGUAGGGGAAGGUGGAAUUCCUAGUGUAGCGGUGGAAUGCGCAGAUAUUAGGAAGAACACCAGUGGCGAAGGCGGCCUUCUGGGCCAUAACUGACGCUGAGGAGCGAAAGCUAGGGGAGCAAACAGGAUUAGAAACCCGGGUAGUCCU
This 449-nucleotide ribosomal RNA is filed under the name uncultured bacterium. RNAcentral describes it as "bacterial SSU rRNA". It matches the Rfam family "Bacterial small subunit ribosomal RNA", at positions 335 to 797 of the family's 1533-position model. The record is from RNAcentral.